GAAAAAAUAUGACAUCAGAUUUGACCUAAUUUUUUGGGUACACCUCUGUUAUCCAUUGCUGGAAACAGAUAGCGGCUAGGGUUUGUCUCUGUUGUUGCAUUCUAUUUUCUUCUUCUGUGGAAAAUCCUUUCAAACUGAGUCCCCUUUCCAUUAUGCUCACAAUCUUCUCCACGCUACUUCUAUGUUCCUGGAGAUGAAGGGAAUUAGCCCUGCAUUUGUCAUUCUUAAAGCAUCACUUUGUCAUGAAGGUUGAGUGCUUUCUUGACCUAAUUCAGAUAAAUCACGUUAGGAUUUUUGUAUUACUUCAAGAAAGCAUUCAACAUUCAUGAGAAGUGAUUCCAGAAGGAUAUAUAUAUCAACCGAAUUGCUUACGCUACUUUCAUAAAGGGUUGUCAACAAAGCCUGAUCACACUCUAGUCAAAGGUAGAGUUGCAAAGGAGGGUUAUGGUUUGUAUUCUGAAAUUAUUUCUAAGAGAAUUUUUCAUAACCUUUUGAUCUAUGAUACUCUACUUUAUGGCUUUUUCAUUGCUGAUAAUUUACAGGAAAUGCAGAGGAGUAUGGUUUCAGAGAUAGUGAUGCAUAAUUGAAAUCAACAACCAGAUAGCUGAUCUGUAUGGUAGUAAUGUUUUUAAUGUAUUGCUGUGUUUUACAUCUAUUACCAUAGAACUUGUUGUAGGUUAAAUGACAAGAUCUAUGUUAUUUUUCGCUCUGCAUAAUUGUUUGGGAUGGUGAUAACUUUUUUGACAACGGGACAUGUGUCAUCAUUUUAUUGGUCUAUUUGAAUUUACAUUUGAAAAAUAUUUAAAAUGAAUCAAUCAUAAACUAUAACAUAUGCAUUAUAAAAAAGUGUUGUUAAAAGAAGUUUUUCCAAUUGUUUGUGUUACUUCAAGUACUUGGUUUAUGUUUUUAACGUAGUUUCCACUUUUUUUCAAACCACAGUUUCAAAAGUAGAGAGAUAGCUACAAGAACAAAGAUAUUGAAAUAUAUUUGGAGCAUGGAAACUACAACUAAUCAUUAACAUCACAUUCAAAUGGAAGAGGAUGCAUAUAUAACUUUGCAAAAUGUUUCUUUAACCAUUUUUUUGCCAUUAAAUUUUUCUAAUUCUGAAGUCAUAUUUCUUAUUCUCUAAUUUAAAUUGGAUUACAGAAGCUUAAAUUUAUCAUCUUUUUUCGAGAGAAUCGGUCAAUAUGAUCUAAUCUUAUUGAAUCAAAUCUAAAACAAUUUAAAUGUAAAAUAAAGGUUUAAAUAACUUAACCAAGGACGAUUCCUUCCUUAAACCUAAUGCUUAAAAAAGUAUCCAGUUUACUUUUUAUGAUUCAAUUAUGUUCAACAUACUUCUAAACUUUAGAAAUUGUUUUAAUUUGAGUGAUUUAAUUAUUAUAUUAUAUUAUCAUAUGCAAGAAGUCAUGUUAGUGUAUAUAUUUGUGUAAUAGUACUUAUUAUUGCAUCAUAAUAUAUUACAGUACUUAUUGGAGUAAGUAAGAAUCCUGCAAAUCAUCUAUUUUUUUUCAUUAGCACAGUUUUUAAUAGAUUCAUAAUUUGGUUUCAGGAAACUGAAUUUGUAAUAUCUUUUGAAAUGUUUUUAUAAAAAUUAAAAUUAGAAACUUGUUUGUCAAGAAAAUGAAUUAUGUGAAUGGUUUGGAUUUUUAACUUACAGAAAUUUAUUUUUAUUUUUUACUUUUAAAUCUUUUCCACUCUUUCUCUUCUUUUAUUUCUCUUUUACCUAUCAGCCGAAGCCCCCUCUCCCCUUUAAAGAAAAAGUUAUGAUAAAAUAUGUAUAUUAUUAUUUUUUAUUAGUACUAUUAUGAUUAUUAAUUAUCAAAACAUAAAUUUGUUCAUAUUAUUAUUAUUAUUAAUUGUAAUAUUUAAUCUUAUUAAUUUUUUUGUAUUAUUUUUAUAUCAUGUAUAGAGUUUUUCUACUUUAUCUAUAUAUGUGUGAGGAAGGAAAAUUUAAAAGGGAAAAAAAAUAUGACAUCAGAUUUGACCUAAUUUAUUCCACUUUGGUACUCCCCUGUUAUCUAUUGCUGGAAACAAAUAGCGGCUAGGGUUUCUCUCUGUUGUUGCAUUCCCAAGUUUUCUUCUUUUUGGCCAAAUCCUUUCUCACAGAGUCCCCUUUUCAUGAUGUUCACAAUCUUCUGUUUUCGUUUUCUAAGCAGAUGGAGAUUAAGAGAAUUAGCCCUGAAUUUGUCAUUCUUUAAGCGUCACUUGUCAUGAAAGUUGAGUGCUUUCUUGACCUAAUUUAGAUAAAUCACGUUAGGAUUUUUGUAUUAGGUUAACAAAGCAUUCAAAUUCAUGAUAAAUGAUUACAGAGGAAUAUGUCAACCGAAUUACUUACGCCACUUUAGUAAAGGGUUGUCAACAAAGCCUGAUCACAGUCUAUUAGUUG
This 2386-nucleotide long non-coding RNA is filed under the name Vigna radiata. RNAcentral describes it as "long non-coding RNA (VRAD_LNC000231)". The record is from RNAcentral. Lineage: Eukaryota; Viridiplantae; Streptophyta; Magnoliopsida; Fabales; Fabaceae.